Molecule: ribosomal RNA, 447 nt
Filed under: uncultured bacterium
Lineage: Bacteria
Description: bacterial SSU rRNA
Rfam family: Bacterial small subunit ribosomal RNA
Source: RNAcentral
AACCAGACUCCUACGGGAGGCAGCAGUGGGGGAUAUUGCACAAUGGGGGGAACCCUGAUGCAGCGACGCCGCGUGGGUGAAGGAGUAUUUCGGUAUGUAAAGCCCUAUCGGCAGGGAAGAAGCAAGACGGUACCUGACUAAGAAGCCCCGGCUAACUACGUGCCAGCAGCCGCGGUAAUACGUAGGGGGCGAGCGUUAUCCGGAUUUACUGGGUGUAAAGGGAGCGUAGACGGCGAUGCAAGCCAGAUGUGAAAGCCCGGGGCUCAACCCCGGGACUGCAUUUGGAACUGUGUGGCUGGAGUGUCGGAGAGGCAGGCGGAAUUCCUAGUGUAGCGGUGAAAUGCGUAGAUAUUAGGAGGAACACCAGUGGCGAAGGCGGCCUGCUGGACGAUGACUGACGUUGAGGCUCGAAAGCGUGGGGAGCAAACAGGAUUAGAUACCCCGGUA